RNAcentral lists this unclassified non-coding RNA (4992 nucleotides) under Pomacea canaliculata. RNAcentral's name for it is "dolichol kinase-like, transcript variant X4". Lineage: Eukaryota; Metazoa; Mollusca; Gastropoda; Architaenioglossa; Ampullariidae. The record is from RNAcentral.
AUUUUUCUGAUGGCGGAAGGCCUGUAAAUUAUUGUUUACCGCCUGCUUGUCGACGUUUUACGACGGAUUCAAAAACUCUUUAAAGGGAGAUAAUUCUUAGUCGUUUCGCUUCUUGUCAAAACCAAAAUGAGAACAUCGCACUGCAGCAUUGGUUCUACGUACUUAAAACUCUGUAGUUACUUAAUUUACAGUUGUAAUCUGCAUUAAGGUUUACAAUGAUGAUCUUAUGUAAUAGACUAACAGGAGAGGAUUGGCUGAUUAUCAUCCUGGUGACCAAGGUUUUAGGAGGCCUGCUUCUUCAGUCUUGGAAUGUAACCCAUGAAUGGACAUACCAUUGCCUCGCUGGAUCUCUCGUACUUCAAGUGUUGUCAAUCAUAUUCUUUUCUUCGCCAAAGAAUGGACACAAAGGAAGUGACACAUUUAGAACUGCUGAACAGUCUGGAAUAUUUUGCAUCUUGCUGGUUCCCCUGUGUUUUCUUGCAGAAAUUUCUUAUACUGCAAACAACUGUUCAUCAUGUCAUUCCAGGGUAGAAGAGGUAUCAUUUCUACUAGCCUGCAGUAGCAUAAUGCUGAUGUUGUCCUCAAGAAUGCUUCCAAGUCUUAACAGUGUGCAUUCAAGUGGGUUUAUACAGACUGCAUUCAGUUUGUCUUCAGGUCUUGUUCUCCUUCCAGUUGUCUUAACUACAGGCAGCAGUAUCAUGGCCAUUUCUUUUGGCAUUGCUGUUGUAGUGGCUAUGGUCACACAUCUUCCCAGACUGUGCCCAAAAUCCUUUACAUUUGGGGAGUUGUGUGUUGUCUGUCAUCUGGCUGGGGAUUUUGUGUGGAGAAGCAUGAGGUGGUUGACUGAAUUCAUUUCUAAUCAGGGGAGACCACCAAUUUCAGAAGAGGCUUGUUUGUAUGUUUUAAUUUCAGUCAUUUGUAUAUUUGUUGCUUUUGCAACAAUCACCAUACUGUUGGUAAAACCGGUGAAAAAUAUAUUGUUUUUCAUUCUGCUGUAUUGUAUUUUCACACUAAUGGGAUUUGGGACAUAUUGUCUUAUUACAAAUCUGAACCCAGCUGUUUGGCUUUUGCAGUUUGUCUUCACCAGGCAAGAAAGGUUGCUUCUUUUGGGCUGGUGGGUGCUGCUGACUGUGGUGACAGCUAUGGGUGUAUGCCUUUACCCCACCUUAGCAAAGAAGACAGGGACCGUUGACAAAGCUUCAACUGCCAUGCGCAAGUGCUUUCAUCUUGUAGUGGUUGCAGUGUAUGUUCCAGGACUGGUGCAUGAUCCUGCCUUUCUCCUACUUGCUUCAGUUGUUGCCUUGGCUGUGUUGGCCUUACUUGAGACAGCUCGCGUGACUCGUGUAAAAUGGCUGGGCACUACCAUAGAUAUUGCCUUUCAUGUUUUUACUGACAGUCGUGAUCAGGGCCCUGUACUCUUGACACACAUCUAUCUGCUGGUGGGACUGUCAGUUCCUCUUUGGCUCUCAUGCAAUAUAAAUAACAAAGCCAUGUUAUUACAGUUGUCCAGCGGGAUCCUUUCACUUGGCAUUGGUGACACUAUUGCUUGUAUUGCUGGUAUGCGCUAUGGACUGACCAAAUGGCCAGGCACAUGCAAAAGUUUGCAGGGAACUGGUUUCUCAGUUACUGCACAGCUCAUCUUCAUCACUACAGGGUUAUUUUUAGGCUGGUUUGAAUCAUUCUCAUGGUCGGGUGUGGUGUUUGCCGUAGUGGCAUCAUCUGUUUAUGAAGCCUUAACUUCACAGAUUGACAACCUGGUCCUUCCCUUAUAUACUUUGGCAGCCUUGCCAGUGUGACCUCUAUCACAAUAGCUAAGAUGGCUUUGUGUUUCCAUAGAGAAACUGAUCAGUUUCUCUACAGAGCUACAGUCUAACAUCCAAUAUUCAUGCAUCAAGCAAUUUUUAUUUGUGGGGAACAGGGUAGCACCUGAAGAUAAAUGUGUUGAGUGUACAAAAUGUGCGACAUAUAAACAUUGACAAUCCUCUGUAUGCAAAAGAUAGACAUACAUCUGAUAUACAUGUUUGAAACAAGCAGAGUGUGAGCUGCUAAUGCAAUGAUCACUCAGAAAUGUGGGAUGGAGUGGUUGGUGGGGGUGGGGGGAGUCGCCAUUCUCGGUGGAGAAAAUGUUUUUUGUCUUUCAGCGGUUGCUGAUCAUCAAUGUACAGCAACAGGCAGCAUGUUAUGUGGUUUGUUGGCAGAAACUACAGUUCUGAUUUGUGCUGCAAAUCACAAAGACAAGAAUGCUAUGAAUCAGUUGUUUUUAGUUUUUAAAGGUCUUUUCAUUUUUUGUUUGCUAUUAUCUUACUUAACUAUGUUUACUUAUUGUCACAUUAUAUAUAUCUUUAUCCAUUAUUCAUCAGACCAAAUCCUUUAGCACCCGGCACAAGUCAUCACUGAAAAAGUCAUUAAAAAAAGUUAAGGUGGAUUGCCUGUCUGAUCAUUCAAGGAAGAAAAGUGUUAACUCAUUCAGUAUGGAAGCAUCGACACAACCGAGCUGUACUUGUGAGAAUGUUCACAUCUGUGGGUGCAAACUGUAGAGGAAGAGUUGAGCUCUCUCUAGUCACUGAAUACAUGAAUGGUAUAAAACUAGAAAAACAUAACCUACAGGUCUGAUAAAACAUCUCUCCUGGGUGGUUCACUGGGAUAGCAAUUUCAAGAUCUUUUAGUGUACAUACAUUGCCAAUCAAAGAGAUUAAAGUUGUGUGUAGAUGGCUCUGUCAAAGCACAGUACAAUCCAAAUGUAGGCAACAGAUUAAUUAGUUCUGAUUGUGGCUGAUGACUUUAAUAGUAAAACAGUACAAAAUGUGGACAUGACUGGUAGGGACAUCGGAUGUGUGAGCCUUCGAGUAGCCGUCUGCUUGUGCACAGAAAUGAAGCGCAAAAAAACUCCUGUCUGCCAUUUUUAAAAAGAACAUUUUCACAAAAUUAAAGCUUUAGUCACUUUAUUACCAAAAAGAAUGGCUAUCAUUCACAUAUUCGUUGUUGACAUGACCGUGGAGUCCAUGAUCUUUGACAAAUCAGCACAGGCCAACAAAAACGGAAGUUUACAAUCCAAAAUACAUCAGCAGCUCCAUAUUGAUUUCUGGUAGUGAAAUGAAUCUUCACAUUUUUCCAUGACAUUUUUUGAGUUCAGUAACUUCUAUGUGAAAUAAAUUCUCACAAAUUUUUGUCUUCCAUGGUUACUUUCAGUUCUAAAGGAGGGGUUUACAUAAUAGGAACUGGUAUGCCUGUAAAAGACUGGACAUGCCUCUUGUCCGGUGGAUGCUCUUUCAAGCCAGGUUGUCUCCACUACUGUCUGCUUAUUUCUGCAGGACCUGCUAAUACGUUAACAAUUAGAGGCAUUUUCUAAGGGAGCAAAAAAAGGGUGACCAACACCAAUACACUGAUGUCUGCAUACCUAAAAAUGAUCCAAGGGUAAGCACUAACUGCUGUUAGAUAAUUAUCUUUCUCCGAGACCUGUGUAAGUAGAAAGCUGGCAUCAGCUCACUAAACAUUUACACACAGUAACAAAAAUAUCCUUCAAGGACAAUCCUCUUUGCAAUGCAUUACCCAGCGAUCAUGCCUACCUGGCUAUCCACAUUCAACUUACUGAUCACCCAACAUGCCAAAGGUUAAAUGGAUGUGAAACAACACAAACUGACAGUUGUAGCAAAGUCUGCUGGUAAAGAUUAAGACAUGUGACAUUGUGAUGAAAGUGACACAAGUGAUUAAGUUUCCAGACUGUAUAAGUUUGCUGCAAAUCACAGUGCUUUGGAUACUGCAAACAAAAACAUUUUUUUCAGCAUCAACCUAUGAGCAGAUACAACAGCAUUUACACUCUAUUUGUACAAAGCAGCAAAUAACAUAUCCCCCAAAAUUAUGGGAUUUUCAAAAUAAUGAUGAACAGUAAAGGUUUACAGUACUUGUGCAUCAAAAUUAAAUGUUGAAAACUCUUGCUGCAUGGCUACAUACUUGCUGGAAUAGCAGUAAUAGAACUCAUUAUUGAUAGAAAUAUUAAAGAACAUAUAUUAAUCAGCAUACAAGUUAUGCCUAAACAAGCUUGUGGAACUGCUUAGUGGCAAUAUAAAUCUAGGAGGCAGAAUUUGUCAUGCCUAAACUAUUAUCCUUUAGGCUUUAGAUUGUACAAUGUGCAAAAUACUUUUCUAAAAUCUAAAACGCUCCCAUAACAAGUGUAAUAAAAUUGUUGUCCAUUUUCUGGCCAAGUGAUGACAUCCCUCUAUUAAGGCUGAGAACUUAAGCAAAUAAGUGAGAAAUUUGCUGCUUUAGUAAAGGACAAUAAUAAGCUUCAGCAGGAUUUCUAACUCAUUACACCCUUUAUUCAUCUGUUGAUCAAACAUUACUUUUUGACAAUCUUCAACUUAACUGUAAAGAGUUGAGAAUUUGAUUUUAUUAUAAACAGCAAUUUUAUACAGCUGAUGUUCAGUCAUACCAAAGAGAAAUAUUUUGUCACAAGUGACAACAAAAAAAGGCCUGCUCUGCCUACAAAUGGUCUUACACGUUUUUUUUUUCACUGUACCAUCUUCAGUUCAACAAGUUACAAUCUGAACUACUGAUGUCAUGGAAAGCUGUGUUGCCCAGUCAGCAAGCUUACUUUUGUGACAUUUUGUACAAAAACCAUGGGAAACCACAGUGUUGGCAGGCUUGUAUUUUGUGAAUGGAACAGAAAAAGUUCUUCACUCAGAACUUUGGAAUUUUUAUCUAAAAAUAUUCCAUUUGGGCUAGCCUUUAAGGGUGACACGUGUUCCCAAUAGUUGAAGGGAAUAGUGAUGAUACUUAAGUGACUAGACCUAUAAAGUCCAGCACUUGGCUGUCAUUCUGUAUGAACAGACCAUAAUUUUUCUUUUAAAUGGAGAAAUGAGGAGGUGGGGGAGAUGAUCACAUUAUGAAAUUAUCGAUGCCCUAUUUUGGAUAUACAAGGUCUGCAUCAUUCAUGGAACUGGUUGAAAAACAUUUCAAAAAAGUCCAGUUCAUUUAACUCAAGUAAUGCUAUAA